CAGCAGCCGCGGGAAUACGAAGGGUGCAAGCGUUAAUCGGAAUUACUGGGCGUAAAGCGUGCGCAGGCGGUUUGUUAAGACAGAUGUGAAAUCCCCGGGCUCAACCUGGGAACUGCAUUUGUGACUGGCAAGCUAGAGUGUGGCAGAGGGGGGUGGAAUUCCGCGUGUAGCAGUGAAAUGCGUAGAUAUGCGGAGGAACACCGAUGGCGAAGGCAGCCCCCUGGGCCAACACUGACGCUCAUGCACGAAAGCGUGGGGAGCAAACAGGAUUAGAUACCCGUGUAGUCCCUGUCUCUUAUAC
This 301-nucleotide ribosomal RNA is filed under the name uncultured bacterium. Its description in RNAcentral is "partial 16S ribosomal RNA". It matches the Rfam family "Bacterial small subunit ribosomal RNA", at positions 509 to 807 of the family's 1533-position model. The record is from RNAcentral.